Molecule: transfer RNA, 70 nt
Filed under: Camelus bactrianus (Bactrian camel)
Lineage: Eukaryota; Metazoa; Chordata; Mammalia; Artiodactyla; Camelidae
Also listed under: 1 other name
Rfam family: tRNA
About the family: Transfer RNA (tRNA) molecules are approximately 80 nucleotides in length. Their secondary structure includes four short double-helical elements and three loops (D, anti-codon, and T loops).
Source: Rfam by way of RNAcentral
GGGGGUGGCUCGGUGGUGGAGCGCAUGCUUAGCACGCACGAGGUCCUGGGUCCGAUCCCCAGCACCUCCA